This is a small nuclear RNA of Mesocricetus auratus (golden hamster), 176 nucleotides long. Its record names the gene U2. It matches the Rfam family "U2 spliceosomal RNA". Rfam says of the family: U2 is a small nuclear RNA (snRNA) component of the spliceosome (involved in pre-mRNA splicing). Complementary binding between U2 snRNA (in an area lying towards the 5' end but 3' to hairpin I) and the branchpoint sequence (BPS) of the intron results the bulging out of an unpaired adenosine, on the BPS, which initiates a nucleophilic attack at the intronic 5' splice site, thus starting the first of two transesterification reactions that mediate splicing. The record is from Ensembl. NCBI's taxonomy places the organism in Eukaryota, Metazoa, Chordata, Mammalia, Rodentia, Cricetidae.
AACUCUGUCUCGAGUUCAGUAUAGUAUGUUUCUCAUCAGUUUAAUAACUGAUGCGUCCUCGAACUGAGGACAAUAUACUAAAUGAAUCUUUGGAAAGGAAGAUGAAAUAGAAGCCUUCUCCAUCCACUGCACACACUGACCAGUAUCAUACUAUCUCUGAGAAUAGAGUAUCCCCU